UUUUUAGUAGAGAUGGGGUUUCACCUUGUUGGCCAGGCUGGUCUUGAACUCCUGACCUCAAGUGAUAACGCCUGCCUCAGCCUCUCAAAGUGCUGGGAUUAUAGGUGGGAGCCACCAUGCCCAGCCCAAAGUUUUUUUGAUAGGAGUCCGCUUUCCCUUUCCUUGGAUUUAAGCUGGUCUUGGUGACUUAUGUGACCAGUAGAAUACAGAAGUGAUGUUCUGGGACUUGUGAGGCUAAGUCAUAAGAAGCCUUCUAGCUUCCAACAGGCCUCUUGGAAUACACAUUCGUGGAGUCGUGAGUCACCGAAUAAUAAGUCCAACUACCACGUGGCACUGAAACCACAUGGAGAGCUGCAAAUGAGAGAUGGGCCAGGGAGGCCCAGCUUUCUAGCCUUCCCUGCCAAGGGCAUGUGGGGAAGCCAUCUUGGACCCUCCAGAUGAGCCCAGUCAUCACCUGAAUAUCCCCAGGCAGCUCUGGUGGUACCUCAUGGGACAUCCCUUCAGAGUGGUUUCUUAAUUUUAUACUCUCUUUUUUCUUAUUUCUCCAUCAGAAUCAUCACUUUCCUAAGUGCUUUCUGGUAAGGUUGCAAAAUUGGAUAAGCUGUGACCCAUUCAAACUCUUUCACCUUCUCUUUUUCCACUUGAGAUUUUAGGAAAGAUGGAACGGGGCUGGAGCGCUUCUGAGCGUGUCUUUGCUUUGAGUUCUCUCCCUCAGAUCAUUCGGUCUUGGUGUCCCUUCAUCUGUUCCUUUGUCCAUGCCACCUUGUGCUUACUGGUUUCAGUUUUGUGUGUUUUCUGGAUAUUUUCAUGCUUUCCAUCCUUUUCCCGUGUUAGUAUUUUAGGGGAAAGUAUUUCACUGGGAAUUCUUUGAGGGAGCAGUCGGUGUUUGUGGUCUCUGAGGCCUCUGGUUUGUUCAGCCUGGUAUAUGUUUCUUUGUAAGACUCAGUUCCCUCUCAGGCACUAGAUAGUCCCAUUUUUUAGUAUCUUCUGUUUUCUCACGUUGUGAUCUCUUUUCCUCUUCCUCUAUUUUAGUUUCCCAUUUUGGAACCAUAUUGUAUUUCC
This 1062-nucleotide long non-coding RNA is filed under the name Homo sapiens (human). Its description in RNAcentral is "non-protein coding lnc-NSMCE4A-1:1". Lineage: Eukaryota; Metazoa; Chordata; Mammalia; Primates; Hominidae. The record is from RNAcentral.